GCCUAGAUAGCUCAAAUGGUAGAGCUUUUGACUUUUAAUCUGAGGCUCCAGGGUUCAACUCCUUGUUAAGGUG
This 73-nucleotide transfer RNA is filed under the name Alligator mississippiensis (American alligator). It matches the Rfam family "tRNA". From Rfam's summary of the family: Transfer RNA (tRNA) molecules are approximately 80 nucleotides in length. Their secondary structure includes four short double-helical elements and three loops (D, anti-codon, and T loops). Lineage: Eukaryota; Metazoa; Chordata; Crocodylia; Alligatoridae. The record is from Rfam by way of RNAcentral.